UACAGAGGGUGCAAGCGUUGUUCGGAAUCACUGGGCGUAAAGGGCGCGUAGGCGGCUUAACAAGUCACUUGUGAAAUCUCCGGGCUUAACUCGGAACGGCCAAGUGAAACUGUCAAGCUAGAGUGCAGAAGGGGCAAUCGGAAUUCUUGGUGUAGCGGUGAAAUGCGUAGAUAUCAAGAGGAACACCUGAGGUGAAGACGGGUUGCUGGGCUGACACUGACGCUGAGGCGCGAAAGCCAGGGGAGCAAACGGG
RNAcentral lists this ribosomal RNA (253 nucleotides) under uncultured bacterium. RNAcentral describes it as "partial 16S ribosomal RNA". It matches the Rfam family "Bacterial small subunit ribosomal RNA", at positions 524 to 776 of the family's 1533-position model. The record is from RNAcentral.